UGGGGAAUAUUGCACAAUGGGCGCAAGCCUGAUGCAGCCAUGCCGCGUGUAUGAAGAAGGCCUUCGGGUUGUAAAGUACUUUCAGCGGGGAGGAAGGUGUUGAGGCUAAUAACCUCAGCAAUUGACGUUACCCGCAGAAGAAGCACCGGCUAACUCCGUGCCAGCAGCCGCGGUAAUACGGAGGGUGCAAGCGUUAAUCGGCAUUACUGGGCGUAAAGCGCACGCAGGCGGUCUGUCAAGUCGGAUGUGAAAUCCCCGGGCUCAACCUGGGAACUGCAUUCGAAACUGGCAGGCUAGAGUCUUGUAGAGGGGGGUAGAAUUCCAGGUGUAGCGGUGAAAUGCGUAGAGAUCUGGAGGAAUACCGGUGGCGAAGGCGGCCCCCUGGACAAAGACUGACGCUCAGGUGCGAAAGCGUGGGGAGCAAACA
This 427-nucleotide ribosomal RNA is filed under the name uncultured bacterium. RNAcentral describes it as "partial 16S ribosomal RNA". It matches the Rfam family "Bacterial small subunit ribosomal RNA", at positions 355 to 774 of the family's 1533-position model. The record is from RNAcentral.